This 1257-nucleotide long non-coding RNA is filed under the name Cairina moschata (Muscovy duck). RNAcentral describes it as "domestica (muscovy Duck (domestic type)) lncRNA (ENSCMMG00000003598.1)". Lineage: Eukaryota; Metazoa; Chordata; Aves; Anseriformes; Anatidae. The record is from RNAcentral.
GGGUGCCCCCAUUUGGGGUGCCCCAAUUGGGGUGCCCUCUCUUGGGGUGUCCCCUCUCGGGGUGUCCUCAAUCAGGGUGUCCCCUUUUGGGGUAUCCCCAAUUGGGGUGUCCCCUGUUAGGGUGUCCCCAGUUGGGGUGCCCACUGACAGGGUGUCCCCUCUCGGGGUGUCCCAUUUGGGGUGUUGUCUCUCGGGGUGUCCCCAGUCAGGGUGUCCCCAGUUGGGGUGCCCCAUUUGGGGUGUCCUCUCUCAGGGUGUCCCCAGUCAGGGUGUCCCCAGUUGGGGUGUCCCCUUUUGGGGUGCCCCCUUUUGGGGUGUCUUCAAUUGGGGUGUCCUCAGGGUGUCCCCAUUUGGGGUGCCCCAAUUGGGGUGUCCCCUUUCGGCGUGUCCCCAGUCAGGGUGUCCCCAAUUGGGGUGCCCCCUUUUGGGGUGUUCCCAAUUGGGGUGUCCCCUGUUAGGGUGUCCCCAGUUGAGGUGUCCCCUUUUGGGGCGCUCCAUUUGGGAUGUCCUCUCUCGGGGUGGCCCCUCUUGAAGUGUCCUCUCUCAGGGGCGCCCCCUCUCGGGGCGUCCCCUUUUGGGGCGUCCCCAUUUGGGGUGUCCCCAUUUGGGGUGUCCCCGUUUGGGGUGCCCCCCUCACGGCGCCAGGCACUUGACGCCCGCGUCCUCGGCGUGCCCGCAGUUGGUUUUGCCCCAGCUGGAGAAGCCGCAGCGCAGCAGGCUGUCCUCGGUGCCCCUGCACGACACGUCGUCCAUCCAGAUCCUGCCCGUCCCUACAAAAAACACAGGGCCCGGGAUGAGCCCCCUCCUCACCCCGGGGGGGGGGGGGUCCCAGACACCGGGACGCUCACCCGGGGGGGUAACCCUAUAUUUUGGGGGUUCCCGAGCCACCCAGGAGGAAUAAUCCUUGUUUUGGGGGGAAAAACCCCAAAAGACGCACGCUGCUGUCCCGAAGAUGAAGCAUUAAGGGGGCUGUGGGCGCGUGGCAGAGGUGGGGGCACCACCCUGUGCCCCCCUCCGGGGUAUCCAAACGAGGUGGCACCGAGAGCGCAGCACCUUUGGGGUCCCCUAAAGCUGCUGCCAGGGCCAGCGGGUCCUGGAGGUCAGGGUGUCCCCCCCAGGGACCCCAAUAGGGUGGGCACCGGGGCCAAGUGGAUGGAGAAGGGGUCACAGAGCCCCCCCCAGGCUCGGCAGCUUGGGGGGGGGGGGCAAAGGUCACCAGGGUGGGUGCCAGGCGUUGCCACGAGGUUUUUUAAAAAG